UACAGAGGUGGCAAGCGUUGUUCGGAAUUACUGGGCGGAAAGGGCGCGUAGGCGGCCUUGUAAGUCCUGGGUGAAAUCCCCCGGCUCAACUGGGGAACUGCACAGGAGACUGCUUGGCUUGAGUUCGGGAGAGGGAAGCGGAAUUCCGGGUGUAGCGGUGAAAUGCGUAGAUAUCCGGAGGAACACCGGUGGCGAAGGCGGCUUCCUGGACCGACACUGACGCUGAGGCGCGAAAGCCAGGGGAGCAAACGGG
This 253-nucleotide ribosomal RNA is filed under the name uncultured bacterium. Its description in RNAcentral is "partial 16S ribosomal RNA". It matches the Rfam family "Bacterial small subunit ribosomal RNA", at positions 524 to 776 of the family's 1533-position model. The record is from RNAcentral.